AUGAUGGAGCCCUGGAUGCUUCUUUCCCUCCUUUUAAUCAUGCCCAGCAAGCCACAGGAGACAGGACCCAGGAUCAUCAUGAAUCUGAAGUUGCGGGAUUCUUUUCCUGGGAACCUCUCACAAGUCCCCCAUUUCCAGGAGUUUCUGGAGAAGACCAAUGAUAGAAAAAACCAAGAUGGGGAAAGUCACAAAGUAGAAGAGAUACCGGUAUUUGGAGGUCAGAGGCAGUGGGAGCAAUGUUCCAUGUGGACUCAAGAGGAUCUGAGUUCAAAUUCUCACUCUGCUUCCUGCUUGACCCAGGAAAGGUAAUAACUUCUCUAAGUCUUAAUUUCUUUCUCUGCAAAAUGAAGAGGUAGCAUGAGAGGACCUCUUGGAUUCUUUGUAGCUCUAAACCUAUGAUCUUAUGAUCCACCUAUUUGACUGGACUAUUUGACAAGCUUAUCUCAUCUAUUUUACACUUCAGUUGAUAUUAAUAAUCAGAGCGCCAUUGAACAAGGUGGCUUUGUUAUUUCUUUUGUAUACUUUUCAAAUAUGCACAGGAGAUAUCUUGUUGUAGGAGUUUUUAAGGCAAUGCUUUGCUUGACCCAAUCAAAUGCUUUUUUUUUAGCCAAUAAGCAAAGUAAGAUCUUUAUUCUCUCUAUCUCACUCAAUUAUUUGACUGUAUUUAUACUGUAUUUUUUUGGGGAAAAAAACUUUGAUCACCAUUUUUAACUGCCUAAUUUGGGGGACUAAAAGCAUUUCCCAAAGCAUCCCAUUCCUCCAACAAAAAGUUAAGUAAAAUCUAUCAAACCUAUCUCACCUGCCAUUAUUCCACAACCAUCAUCCCCUUUCUUUUUAUAGAAGAGAAAAAUUGGUCAAUGCAAUCAAUCUGAGUUGUUCCUAUUGUCACUGUAUAUGUUGCUUGAAAAUUCAUCUAUUUCUUGUUCUCUUGCAACAUCCACAUCAGCAGUGCUCUUGAGGUAUAUGUAGAUU
RNAcentral lists this long non-coding RNA (972 nucleotides) under Monodelphis domestica (gray short-tailed opossum). Its description in RNAcentral is "lncRNA (ENSMODG00000041894.1)". The record is from RNAcentral. Lineage: Eukaryota; Metazoa; Chordata; Mammalia; Didelphimorphia; Didelphidae.